Non-coding RNA from Crenothrix polyspora, 74 nucleotides. The record is from Rfam. Lineage: Bacteria; Pseudomonadati; Pseudomonadota; Gammaproteobacteria; Methylococcales; Crenotrichaceae.
GGAGCGGUAGUUCAGUUGGUUAGAAUACCGGCCUGUCACGCCGGUGGUCGCGGGUUCGAGCCCCGUCCGCUCCG